RNAcentral lists this ribosomal RNA (127 nucleotides) under Anadara inaequivalvis (ark clam). RNAcentral describes it as "partial 5.8S ribosomal RNA". It matches the Rfam family "5.8S ribosomal RNA", at positions 30 to 154 of the family's 154-position model. Rfam says of the family: 5.8S ribosomal RNA (5.8S rRNA) is a component of the large subunit of the eukaryotic ribosome. It is transcribed by RNA polymerase I as part of the 45S precursor that also contains 18S and 28S rRNA. Functionally, it is thought that 5.8S rRNA may be involved in ribosome translocation. The record is from RNAcentral. Lineage: Eukaryota; Metazoa; Mollusca; Bivalvia; Arcoida; Arcidae.
GCAUCGAUGAAGAACGCAGCCAGCUGCGUGAAUUAAUGUGAAUUGCAGGACACAUUGAACAUCGAUAUCUUGAACGCACAUUGCAGCUUCGGGUCACUCCCGGAGCAACGCCUGUCUGAGGGUCGGU